Molecule: small nucleolar RNA, 140 nt
Organism: Equus asinus (donkey)
Lineage: Eukaryota; Metazoa; Chordata; Mammalia; Perissodactyla; Equidae
Gene: SNORA70
Rfam family: Small nucleolar RNA SNORA70
About the family: snoRNA U70 seems to be exclusive to mammals and is a member of the H/ACA class of snoRNA which contain H (ANANNA) and ACA box motifs.
Source: Ensembl
ACGUAACCAUCUGUUAAGCUAGCUGAGCCCCUCCUCCCUGGUGGGGGCUCAGUGUGCAGAGGCUGCAAUGAGCAGAUUCCCUGCGAGUGUAAGCAGUUCAUUCCUUUUAUGUGUUGCUCUCAGGCACCUUGGAGACAUUG